ACAUCCAGAGAAUUUAGCAGAGAUGCUUUAGUGCCUUCGGGAACUCUGAGACAGGUGCUGCAUGGCUGUCGUCAGCUCGUGUUGUGAAAUGUUGGGUUAAGUCCCGCAACGAGCGCAACCCUUAUCCUUUGUUGCCAGCACGUAAUGGUGGGAACUCAAAGGAGACUGCCGGUGAUAAACCGGAGGAAGGUGGGGAUGACGUCAAGUCAUCAUGGCCCUUACGAGUAGGGCUACACACGUGCUACAAUGGCGCAUACAAAGAGAAGCGACCUCGCGAGAGCAAGCGGACCUCAUAAAGUGCGUCGUAGUCCGGAUUGGAGUCUGCAACUCGACUCCAUGAAGUCGGAAUCGCUAGUAAUCGUAAAUCAGAAUGUUACGGUGAAUACGUUCCCGGGCCUUGUACACACCGCCCGUCACACCAUGGGAGUGGGUUGCAAAAGAAGUAGAUAGCUUAACCCUCGGGAGGGCGUUUACCACUUUGUGAUUCAUGACUGGGGUGAAGUCGUAACAAGGUAAGCGUAGUGCU
This 526-nucleotide ribosomal RNA is filed under the name uncultured bacterium. RNAcentral describes it as "bacterial SSU rRNA". It matches the Rfam family "Bacterial small subunit ribosomal RNA", at positions 984 to 1509 of the family's 1533-position model. The record is from RNAcentral.